GAGCUAAUACCGCAUACGUCGUACGGGAGAAAGGAGGGAUCUUCGGACCUUCCACUAUAAGAUGAGCCCAAGCGAGAUUAGUUAGUUGGUAAGGUAAAGGCUUACCAAGGCGACGAUCUCUGGCUGGUGUGAGAGGAUGAUCAGCCACACUGGGACUGAGACACGGCCCAGACUCCUACGGGAGGCAGCAGUGGGGAAUAUUGGACAAUGGGCGAAAGCCUGAUCCAGCCAUGCCGCGUGUGUGAAGAAGGCCUUCGGGUUGUAAAGCACUUUAAGCGAGGAGGAAGGCUGCUGGGUUAAUACCCUUGAGCAG
Molecule: ribosomal RNA, 313 nt
Filed under: gamma proteobacterium GA-30
Lineage: Bacteria; Pseudomonadati; Pseudomonadota; Gammaproteobacteria
Description: bacterial SSU rRNA
Rfam family: Bacterial small subunit ribosomal RNA
Source: RNAcentral